UACGUAGGGGGCAAGCGUUGUCCGGAUUCAUUGGGCGGAAAGAGCUCGUAGGCGGCUUGGCAAGUCGGGUGUGAAAACUCCAGGCUCAACCUGGAGACGCCACCCGAUACUGCUAUGGCUUGAGUCCGGUAGGGGACCACGGAAUUCCUGGUGUAGCGGUGAAAUGCGCAGAUAUCAGGAGGAACACCGGUGGCGAAGGCGAGUCCCUGGACGAUACCUGACACUGAGGCACGAAAGCUAGGGGAGCAAACAGG
RNAcentral lists this ribosomal RNA (254 nucleotides) under uncultured bacterium. Its description in RNAcentral is "partial 16S ribosomal RNA". It matches the Rfam family "Bacterial small subunit ribosomal RNA", at positions 524 to 776 of the family's 1533-position model. The record is from RNAcentral.